CAAAACCAUAUUCCUGCUGCUGUCAGUUAUGAUGCACUGAGAAAACUUCAGAGACCUAAGCUUUUUCCAGAGAAGAGAAGCUUUACUGGUGUUCCAGCCCUAAGAAACUUAAAUCCUCAGUGUGACACAACUCAGUCCUUCUACUGCAGCAGCUCUUUUAUAAAAGCCUCCCAAAGCUCCAAGAAGGAACAAAGAAUGUGACCCAGUAAGCUCACACCAUAAGUCUAUAUUGCAGAAACCUUUGUUCAACAAAACUGCAGAUACUCUGUUGAAUCCACUGGAGAUUGUCCUCAUACUAAGGACAAGUAUCAACCAUCUUUCCUGUGAAAAAUUCCCUCUCCUAGUACUUUAGUUCUGUGGAUCCAAAAUUUAUAGCAUUCUUCUACCACCACAGGGGCUCAUAUGACAUUAACAGACAAGACACUUUUCAGAAAGACAGGUUGUUCUUUUGGGCCACAUCUAAGAAAUCUUUGUCUAGCCAAAAGCCACAAAUAAUUUCUCAUUUUUUGGCUUCUGGAAGAUGUACAGUUAAAUGUUAUAUUUGGGACUGUUAUCUAAUUUGAUUAAAUUGCAC
RNAcentral lists this long non-coding RNA (574 nucleotides) under Pan troglodytes (chimpanzee). RNAcentral describes it as "long non-coding RNA NONPTRT002277". The record is from RNAcentral. Lineage: Eukaryota; Metazoa; Chordata; Mammalia; Primates; Hominidae.